RNAcentral lists this non-coding RNA (27 nucleotides) under Homo sapiens (human). Lineage: Eukaryota; Metazoa; Chordata; Mammalia; Primates; Hominidae. The record is from RNAcentral.
UGGGUGGAACCAUGACCAAAAAUGGUA